Molecule: long non-coding RNA, 209 nt
Filed under: Elaeis guineensis (African oil palm)
Lineage: Eukaryota; Viridiplantae; Streptophyta; Magnoliopsida; Arecales; Arecaceae
Description: long non-coding RNA (EGUI_LNC013523)
Source: RNAcentral
CUAAUCGGAUAGAACUACUUAUUUUCUAUCAAGAUCGAUAGAUUCCAUUUAAGUGCAUCUCACUCUAACAGUGAACUUGAACCUACUGUAGCCAACAUACACAGCAACGAUCUGAAUGAUUAGGGACCAAAGAAACGUGCAGUCAAACUCAGUAGCCUCACUGUGAAUAGCCAAUACACCGUUGGUCAAAGAACCACUCACACUACUAC